RNAcentral lists this ribosomal RNA (205 nucleotides) under uncultured bacterium. RNAcentral describes it as "partial 16S ribosomal RNA". It matches the Rfam family "Bacterial small subunit ribosomal RNA", at positions 524 to 728 of the family's 1533-position model. The record is from RNAcentral.
UACAGAGGGUGCAAGCGUUGUUCGGAAUUAUUGGGCGUAAAGCGCGUGUAGGCGGCUUUGCAAGUCGGGUGUGAAAGCCCUCAGCUCAACUGAGGAAGUGCGCCCGAAACUGCAGAGCUUGAGUGCCGGAGAGGGUGGCGGAAUUCCCCAAGUAGAGGUGAAAUUCGUAGAUAUGGGGAGGAACACCGGUGGCGAAGGCGGCCUC